GACGAACGCUGGCGGCGUGCCUAACACAUGCAAGUCGAACGGAGUGAGAUCCUUCGGGGUUUCGCUUAGUGGCGAACGGGUGAGUAACGCGUGAGAAACCUGCCUUUCAGUGGGGGACAACAGUUGGAAACGACUGCUAAUACCGCAUAACGUAUAUUAGGGGCAUCCCUGAUAUACCAAAGCUUUANGUGCUGAAAGAUGGGUCUCGCGUCUGAUUAGCUAGAUGGCGGGUAACGGCCCACCAUGGCGACGAUCAGUAGCCGGUCUGAGAGGAUGAACGGCCACAUUGGGACUGAGAUACGGCCCAGACUCCUACGGGAGGCAGCA
Molecule: ribosomal RNA, 327 nt
Filed under: uncultured bacterium
Lineage: Bacteria
Description: bacterial SSU rRNA
Rfam family: Bacterial small subunit ribosomal RNA
Source: RNAcentral